This 602-nucleotide long non-coding RNA is filed under the name Anser brachyrhynchus (Pink-footed goose). RNAcentral's name for it is "lncRNA (ENSABRG00000012640.1)". Lineage: Eukaryota; Metazoa; Chordata; Aves; Anseriformes; Anatidae. The record is from RNAcentral.
ACUUCGGUCUUUCAUUUUGUUAACUUUGUGUAUAAAGAUUGUGACUAUUUUGUAGAAUUUUCUGCGGACUGAAGCUUGCCAAACAACUCCAAGACAGAAAAAGAGGAAGCAAAACAUGAGGAAGAAGGAAUGCAUGAGUUUAAGAAGAGAAAGGCAAGUUUACACAAAAGAACAAGGAAAAUAACUGACAGCCCUCAAUGUACAAUGACUGUCCUGCGUGCUCCAGGAAGUUAAACAAAGGUCUUAAAAUUUACAAGAAGUUCUCCAUUUGCUGUGUGCAUUUCUCUAAGGAAAUUAUUGCUUUUUCAUCUGCCAUUCAUCUCAUCCACAUAGGAACAAAGUGGAUUUUCAGACCCUUGGCCCAGACUUGGAGGCAGAGGAGCCCGUACGUUCAGAUGAAUGGUAAUGAGCAUUGUCAGAGAGGCAGGAAAAUUGAGUCCCCGGCUCUGGCUGCUGGGCUGAGAGCUGCAGGAGCUAAUUGUGUCAAUGGUAAUGAGACCGAGCAGGCAGCAGAUGCUCACGUGCCUUUACAAUCCAAAUCCCACCAACAAAUUCCUCCCACAGAAACUUUGAGGGACGUCUUGGCACCCUGGAGAUGGUGA